Molecule: ribosomal RNA, 464 nt
Filed under: Vreelandella stevensii
Lineage: Bacteria; Pseudomonadati; Pseudomonadota; Gammaproteobacteria; Oceanospirillales; Halomonadaceae
Description: partial 16S ribosomal RNA
Rfam family: Bacterial small subunit ribosomal RNA
Source: RNAcentral
CCUACGGAGGCAGCAGUGGGGAAUAUUGGACAAGGGGCGAAAGCCUGAUCCAGCCAUGCCGCGUGUGUGAAGAAGGCCUUCGGGUUGUAAAGCACUUUCAGUGGGGAAGAAAGCCUUGGGGCUAAUACCCUCGAGGAAGGACAUCACCCACAGAAGAAGCACCGGCUAACUCCGUGCCAGCAGCGGCGGUAAUACGGAGGGUGCGAGCGUUAAUCGGAAUUACUGGGCGUAAAGCGCGCGUAGGCGGUCUGAUAAGCCUGUUGUGAAAGCCCCGGGCUCAACCUGGGAACGGCAUCCGGAACUGUCAGGCUAGAGUGCAGGAGAGGAAGGUAGAAUUCCCGGUGUAGCGGUGAAAUGCGUAGAGAUCGGGAGGAAUACCAGUGGCGAAGGCGGCCUUCUGGACUGACACUGACGCUGAGGUGCGAAAGCGUGGGUAGCAAACAGGAUUAGAUACCCGAGUAGUC